AGUGAACGCUGGCGGUAGGCCUAACACAUGCAAGUCGAACGGCAGCACAGUAAGAGCUUGCGCUUACGGGUGGCGAGUGGCGGACGGGUGAGGAAUACAUCGGAAUCUACUUUUUCGUGGGGGAUAACGUAGGGAAACUUACUCUAAUACCGCAUACGACCUACGGGUGAAAGCAGGGGAUCUUCGGACCUUGCGCGAUUGAAUGAGCCGAUGUCGGAUUAGCUAGUUGGCGGGGUAAAGGCCCACCAAGGCGACGAUCCGUAGCCGGUCUGAGAGGCUGAUCAGCCGCACUGGAACUUGGACACGGUCCAGACUCCUACGGGAGGCAGCAGUGGGGAAUAUUGGACAAUGGGCGCAAGCCUGAUCCAGCCAUACCGCGUGGGUGAAGAAGGCCUUCGGGUUGUAAAGCCCUUUUGUUGGGAAAGAAAAGCAGCAGGUUAAUACCCCGCUGUUCUGACGGUACCCAAAGAAUAAGCACCGGCUAACUUCGUG
This 492-nucleotide ribosomal RNA is filed under the name uncultured bacterium. RNAcentral's name for it is "partial 16S ribosomal RNA". It matches the Rfam family "Bacterial small subunit ribosomal RNA", at positions 29 to 507 of the family's 1533-position model. The record is from RNAcentral.